GAUGAAGAACGCAGCGAAAUGCGAUAAGUAAUGUGAAUUGCAGAAUUCAGUGAAUCAUCGAAUCUUUGAACGCACAUUGCGCCCUUUGGUAUUCCGAAGGGCAUGCCUGUACGAGCGUCAUUUCACCACUCAAGCCUGGCUUGGUAUUGGGCGCCGCGGUCGAUCCGCGCGCCUCAAAGUCUCCGGCUGAGCUGUCCGUCUCUAAGCGUUGUGAUUUCAUUAAUCGCUUCGGAGUGCGGGCGGCCGCGGCCGUUAAAUCUUUCACAAGGUUGACCUCGGAUCAGGUAGGGAUACCCGCUGAACUUAAGCAUAUCAAUAAGCGGAGGA
Molecule: unclassified non-coding RNA, 327 nt
Filed under: soil metagenome
Description: partial contains 5.8S ribosomal RNA, internal transcribed spacer 2, and large subunit ribosomal RNA
Rfam family: 5.8S ribosomal RNA (bases 1-120)
Source: RNAcentral